RNAcentral lists this ribosomal RNA (495 nucleotides) under uncultured bacterium. Its description in RNAcentral is "bacterial SSU rRNA". It matches the Rfam family "Bacterial small subunit ribosomal RNA", at positions 28 to 526 of the family's 1533-position model. The record is from RNAcentral.
GACGAACGCUGGCGGCGUGCUUAACACAUGCAAGUCGAGCGGUAAGGCUCCUUCGGGGGUACACGAGCGGCGAACGGGUGAGUAACACGUGAGUAAUCUGCCCUCCACUUUGGGAUAAGCCUCGGAAACGGGGUCUAAUACCGGAUAUGACUCAGGCCUGCAUGGGUUUGGGUGGAAAGUUUUUUCGGUGGGGGAUGUGCUCGCGGCCUAUCAGCUUGUUGGUGGGGUAAUGGCCUACCAAGGCGUCGACGGGUAGCCGGCCUGAGAGGGUGACCGGUCACACUGGGACUGAGACACGGCCCAGACUCCUACGGGAGGCAGCAGUGGGGAAUAUUGGACAAUGGGCGGAAGCCUGAUCCAGCAACGCCGCGUGGGGGAUGACGGCCUUCGGGUUGUAAACCUCUUUCAGCACAGACGAAGUCGCGGCUUUUGUCGUGGUGACGGUAUGUGUAGAAGAAGCACCGGCCAACUACGUGCCAGCAGCCGCCGUAAUAC